UGUUUGUGCUCGUAGAUCUAGGUUCUUCACUUGGUGGAGUCUAGGAGUUGUAAAACUCCUUCAUAUUUUGCUCGAAGUGUACCUGCUCAUAGAGACAAGGCAGAGAUCAAGUGCAUGGGCCCUAUUGGUGGAAAACACCAACAGAACCAAAAGUGUAUUUGUUCUUCUCUAACCUUAAGCAUAGUGAGCAAGAUAAAGUUGAUUGAUAAUAACAUCAUGAGUGUAGCAUUUAAAACAUUUGUUAGAUCAGAUUGCUCAACCUAAUGGAAAGAUAAUCUAUCUAUACUUAUGUGUUUUCUCGCUUUUGUAUAUAUAUAUAUAUAUAUCUUCCAAAGACUGAGUGUGCAAUAUUUUAGUUUAUAUGAUUAGAAGUGUG
RNAcentral lists this long non-coding RNA (376 nucleotides) under Sorghum bicolor (sorghum). RNAcentral's name for it is "long non-coding RNA (SBIC_LNC002940)". The record is from RNAcentral. Lineage: Eukaryota; Viridiplantae; Streptophyta; Magnoliopsida; Poales; Poaceae.